Molecule: long non-coding RNA, 856 nt
Organism: Hemicordylus capensis (graceful crag lizard)
Lineage: Eukaryota; Metazoa; Chordata; Lepidosauria; Squamata; Cordylidae
Exons: 2
Source: RefSeq, a predicted model, not a curated record
ACAAGGUCUUAAUUAGAGUAACUACUUGAAAGGUGGGCCUCUCCAAAUAAGGAAGAAAGCCUGGGAGAAUCAAAUUCCUGUGACCCAAUCCAGAGUGAGGGGUAGGGUUUACUGGACAACAGCCUACAGAGAAGUAGAUAAGGGUGUGUGAGAGUUCAGUUCUCCCCCGGAGGCCUUGGAGUGAAGUCUGAUCAGCAACUACUGUAAGGAAAAGGGAGACUAACGGUCUUGGGCUGGGAAUCAACUGGAAGUUCCUUACCUGGAAAUCGUCUUCGCCUUGCUUCUCACAUGCUUCACCUUGACUUCAGCUGCAUAGGAAAGGUGAAGGCCAGGUCAGGCCAGCUCCUAGAGAGAGCAACAAGGGCCUGAAGAGUCAACAUGAGAUACUCACCACUCACCUACCCAGGAUCUAUUUAAAAAAUUGUGUGCCCUGAGGGGGCCUCUGGGGUAUGGAGAAACCAUAUGUUUUCUCUCAGAAAUGCAUCUUGCCAUUCUCUUUGAUGUCCAGUUUUCCCUUGGAAUGUACCCUUCAGUUCUCUUCAAAAGUCACUUUGGCAAAAUUUCAUUUCCAGCCGGCCUGAGUGAAUUCAGUUGGGACAGCCUCUUCCACACCUUUCCGGGAGUUACUGAAGGACCUGUGCGCCCUGAGAGAAAGGCAGAAGAAGAGUCAAGCCAAGAAGCUCAUGCCAUCAGCUCUUCAACAAAUGACCAGCGGCCUGAGACAAUUUUGCUCUUUUAUUGUUUUGUCUUAUGUCUUCUUAAGUGAUUAUUUUUUAGUGUUUUAAAUUGUAAACUGCUUUGAGUACUUGGCAGAAAUGUGCUAAACAAAUAAAAUAAACAGAAGCUUUGCACAUUC